UAAUACGAAGGGGGCUAGCGUUGCUCGGAAUCACUGGGCGUAAAGGGUGCGUAGGCGGGUCUUUAAGUCAGGGGUGAAAUCCUGGAGCUCAACUCCAGAACUGCCUUUGAUACUGAAGAUCUUGAGUUCGGGAGAGGUGAGUGGAACUGCGAGUGUAGAGGUGAAAUUCGUAGAUAUUCGCAAGAACACCAGUGGCGAAGGCGGCUCACUGGCCCGAUACUGACGCUGAGGCACGAAAGCGUGGGGAGCAAACAGGA
RNAcentral lists this ribosomal RNA (257 nucleotides) under uncultured prokaryote. RNAcentral describes it as "partial 16S ribosomal RNA". It matches the Rfam family "Bacterial small subunit ribosomal RNA", at positions 521 to 777 of the family's 1533-position model. The record is from RNAcentral.